This 487-nucleotide ribosomal RNA is filed under the name Salmonella enterica. RNAcentral's name for it is "partial 23S ribosomal RNA". It matches the Rfam family "Bacterial large subunit ribosomal RNA", at positions 745 to 1230 of the family's 2925-position model. The record is from RNAcentral. RNAcentral also lists the same sequence under 1 other name. Lineage: Bacteria; Pseudomonadati; Pseudomonadota; Gammaproteobacteria; Enterobacterales; Enterobacteriaceae.
UUGAAGGUUGGGUAACACUAACUGGAGGACCGAACCGACUAAUGUUGAAAAAUUAGCGGAUGACCUGUGGCUGGGGGUGAAAGGCCAAUCAAACCGGGAGAUAGCUGGUUCUCCCCGAAAGCUAUUUAGGUAGCGCCUCGUGAAUUCAUCUCCGGGGGUAGAGCACUGUUUCGGCUAGGGGGCCAUCCCGGCUUACCAACCCGAUGCAAACUGCGAAUACCGGAGAAUGUUAUCACGGGAGACACACGGCGGGUGCUAACGUCCGUCGUGAAGAGGGAAACAACCCAGACCGCCAGCUAAGGUCCCAAAGUCAUGGUUAAGUGGGAAACGAUGUGGGAAGGCCCAGACAGCCAGGAUGUUGGCUUAGAAGCAGCCAUCAUUUAAAGAAAGCGUAAUAGCUCACUGGUCGAGUCGGCCUGCGCGGAAGAUGUAACGGGGCUAAACCAUGCACCGAAGCUGCGGCAGCGACACUGUGUGUUGUUGGGUA